RNAcentral lists this transfer RNA (74 nucleotides) under Clostridia bacterium. Its description in RNAcentral is "tRNA-Arg". It matches the Rfam family "tRNA". From Rfam's summary of the family: Transfer RNA (tRNA) molecules are approximately 80 nucleotides in length. Lineage: Bacteria; Bacillati; Bacillota; Clostridia. The record is from RNAcentral.
CGGCGUAUAGCCUAAUGGUCAGGCGCUUGCUUUCGGGGCAAGAGCUACGCAGGGUUCGAAUCCCUGCACGUUGG